Molecule: ribosomal RNA, 468 nt
Filed under: uncultured bacterium
Lineage: Bacteria
Description: partial 16S ribosomal RNA
Rfam family: Bacterial small subunit ribosomal RNA
Source: RNAcentral
GACGAACGCUGGCGGCGUGCUUAACACAUGCAAGUCGAACGGAAAGGCCCUGCUUUUGUGGGGUGCUCGAGUGGCGAACGGGUGAGUAACACGUGAGUAACCUGCCCUUGACUUUGGGAUAACUUCAGGAAACUGGGGCUAAUACCGGAUAGGAGCUCCUGCUGCAUGGUGGGGGUUGGAAAGUUUCGGCGGUUUGGGAUGGACUCGCGGCUUAUCCGCUUGUUGGUGGGGUAGUGGCUUACCAAGGCUUUGACGGGUAGCCGGCCUGAGAGGGUGACCGGCCACAUUGGGACUGAGAUACGGCCCAGACUCCUACGGGAGGCAGCAGUGGGGAAUAUUGCGCAAUGGGCGGAAGCCUGAUGCAGCAACGCCGCGUGCGGGAUGACGGCCUUCGGGUUGUAAACCGCUUUCGCCUGUGACGAAGCGUGAGUGACGGUAAUGGGUAAAGAAGCACCGGCUAACUACGUG